This 408-nucleotide ribosomal RNA is filed under the name uncultured bacterium. RNAcentral describes it as "partial 16S ribosomal RNA". It matches the Rfam family "Bacterial small subunit ribosomal RNA", at positions 28 to 526 of the family's 1533-position model. The record is from RNAcentral.
GACGAACGCUGGCGGCGUGCUUAACACAUGCAAGUCGAACGAAGUGGCGAACGGGUGAGUAACGCGUAAUCAAACUGCCCUUCAGAGGGGGACAACAGUUGGAAACGACUGCUCAUACCGCAUACUGACGGAGGGGCUUGCGUCUGAUUAGCUAGUUGGAGGGGUAACGGCCCACCAAGGCGAUGAUCAGUAGCCGGUCUGAGAGGAUGAACGGCCACAUUGGGACUGAGACACGGCCGCGACUCCUACGGGAGGCAGCAGUGGGGAAUAUUGGACAAUGGGCGAAAGCCUGAUCCAGCCAUGCCGCGUGUGUGAAGAAGGUCUUCGGAUUGUAAAGCACUUUAAGGUGGGAGGCGUUACCAACAGAAUAAGCACCGGCUAACUUCGUGCCAGCCGCCGCGGUAAUUC